Molecule: long non-coding RNA, 3482 nt
Organism: Populus trichocarpa (black cottonwood)
Lineage: Eukaryota; Viridiplantae; Streptophyta; Magnoliopsida; Malpighiales; Salicaceae
Exons: 3
Source: RefSeq, a predicted model, not a curated record
AUAAAUCUUACCAUCUACCAAAGGUCCUAAGGAUAAAGCGACGCUGGCUAGGACACAAAACGACAGUACGUUUCAUCCAUUACAAAGCUAUACCCAGUCGAGUCACUGUAUAUGAAACUCCCGCCUCUGAGAUGGCGACUUCCACUUUAUCGACAAUCCAGUCCUCUCUUAAUCGCAAACGCCUUCGAUUACCACCUCCACCGCCACCGCCACCGCCACCGCCACCGCCAAUCUCAAUUUCAUUUCAAUUCCACAAAAUCGUAAAAACUUCAGCGGUUACUGUUCCUUUGAAGUUAGUAAUUUUCUGUCUCUUUUGUUUAAUAGUUAAUUGUUAUAAUUAUCAUCAUGUGUUAAUUGUAGGUUAAGGAUGUUAGCUAUAGACCUCCAGGAACUAAGCUUAAUCUUUUAAAUAAAGUUACCUUUUCACUUCCAGAGAAAACGUAAUUAAUUUUUUUUAAUCAAUCAAUCAAUUAACUGUUCUGAUUCUGUUUAUGCAUUUUUGUUGCUUUUAAUUUUUGAUCGUCUAGUAAUUUCUUAAUAAACGAAGUGAUAUUAUGGGUUGCCAUCAUCUUUAUAUUAAAAAAUAUAGGAAGGCAGGAAGAAAAUGCUAUGUGGUUUCUAUAUAUUGCUUUAGGUUUAUUAUAAAGAGUUGAACUUCGAUGAAGAAUGUUGUUUUGCUACAAGCUAGCUACUUUGUGGCUGACACUAUUGUUGCUGAACUUACAUUUUGGUGGCCCAGGCGAAAGCGUAUUUGAUUAAGGGAGGUCUUGCUUUGAAUCUGCAAAGAGCUGUAAAUUGGGUACUAUUUUUAAAAAGAAAAAGAAAAAAAAGGGGGAGAAAAUUAAGCAUGUUUUAUCUUUUUCUUUUUUCGGUCGUUUUUAUAUUACAUUUCAUUGCCGUACUUAUAAUUUAACUGAUAACUAUAGGUUGGAUUGAAUGGGAUCUCGUUGUGUAAAGAUCCUUACUCUCUAAGUGUUGAAUAUAAACGUCGGCUUGCCUUGGCUAUUCAACUGGUAAUAACCUUUAUGUUAGUCUACAAUUCUUGAGAUGCUCCAUUCUAAAGUUACAGAUUAGGUACUUGUAUAACCUUUAUACUUGUAGCAUGCUUCGAGUGAUGAGUGUUAUCGAUUUAAUAUUCAGUUUAAAGUCCCUGAUAUGCUGGUUUUGGAUGAGCCUCUUGUUGGCCUAGCUGUGAGUCAUACUCAGUACUUUUUAGUUCCUAGACCAUUCCUUGUCUUCCCUCUUGUUUAGACCCCCAGCUGAUGAUUACUAUGAUUUUUUUGAAGUUAAUCAAUAAUUAAGAACCCCUAAUCCCUGUAGUGCCGUGCAGUGUCCUCCAACUUUUUAAAUGCAUGAAUACUUUUAGAGAUAAAGAGUCAAGGGAGGCCCGCUCUGGGCUUGUUGCCUUGACAUCGGCUAAUUGAUGAUGAGUUAUGGAUUUGAAUGUUCUCUUAUUUCCUUUCUUAUCAUCAGUAAUACCAAACUAUACAUCAGGGGUUCCCCUCACCAUUCCUCUCCUUUUCAAUAAUUUGGACCUUUGGCCUCCCCCCUGAAAGCAAGACUGGUUAGGGUACUCCAACUGUUUUCAUUUAGAUCAUUUAACUUCAAAUUCGAUUCCAGCUCAUUUGCACUCAAAAUUCUAAAAUUCAAUGCUUAGCCUCAUGUUUAUCAGUUAUUAAAAACAUUUCUUGAUAUUUGAAGUGAUGAGUGUUUCACACUCGAGUAAGUCCAUGGUAAGCUUUCAGUACAUCCUCCUAGCUUCUCCAUUUGUUAAUUCUUUUCUGCUGCAGUGAGUUUGUUUUAAUUAUUAUUAAUGAUGCUUUGGAGAUCAGAUUGGAAGGCAAGGGCAGAUGUCAUAAAGCUUUUGAAGCGCUUGGAGAAAAAAUUGACCAUCCUUGUUGUCAGUCAUGAUCUCAAAGAAUUAGCUACUAUAGUUGAUCAUCCCUGGAGGAUGGAAAUGGGUGGAUUUCUGAUGGAAGAGCUCCUUUCAGUGUAACCUUAGAGUGGACUAUUGCCUACUUGCUAUGAGGUUUGACCUAGUGCUCGGCCUAAAGGAUGGUGGCAUUUCUAGCAGGACCAACGAAAACUAUUGUGAGUGGAAAUCAUUAUAAAUAUAUACUUGCCAUGGACCCCAAAGGGACUCUGAAUUAUUUAAGCUUUUUGGCUAGUCAUUGCUUCUGGUAAGAUACUUCUUAACUGAAAUAUACUCAUCUAGCAGACCAGUUCUACUGUGGUUGACAUACGAAAUAUCUUUUCCGGGAGUGAAAAGUUUAUGCCGGGCCAUUCAUGCUUAAUAUUGCGGUAGUUUUGCUUUUAUAUGCUUUUUAAAAAAAAAAAUUGUUUUUUUUUAUAAUUUUAAAGUGUUGAUGUAAAAAAUAAAAAAAAAAUUGAAAAAAAAUUAUUUUAAUAUAUUAUUUUAAAAAAAACAUUUUUAAAAAUAUUUAGUGCUACAAUUUUAAACACCCAUUAAAUCUUGAGAACCAGCUUUUUUCUAUUCAUUUAUGCUCUAUGGAGGCUACCAUUACCAUUGUUAUCGAUAUCAACGUUGUCAUUAUCGCUUGUUUAGGAGUGUGGUUGUGGUUAUUUUUUAAAGUAUUUUUUACUUAGAAAAGUAUGUUAAUAAUAUUUUUUUUAUUUUUUAAAAAUUAUUUUUGAAAUCAGUAUAUUUAAAUAAUUUGAAAAUAUUAGAAAUAUAUUAAUUUAAAAUAAAAAAAAAUUUAAUUUUUUUUUUAAAACGCAGUUCCAAACGUGCACUGUAUAUCCUUCUCUGCAACACUCACACCUCCUUUUGUAAAUUUAAGAUUCUAGCUAUACGGCAAUCCUACUGUGGUUCCCUUGAUGUGAUAUAUUUUUUCUGACUAAAAGUCAUGGAUGCGCAGUUUCUGUAAAAGGAGACCCAGGACAGGAGCAAGUUCUUACCUUCUUAUCUAAUGGCAUUCCAUUUUUGACUCUGACCUUCUCUUUCGACAAAUUGGGAGUUUUCUUUGCCGUUCCAUACCGGUUUGUCACUGUAGUUGAACUGGAACCGCCAGCAUGAUUCGGGCAUGAUUUCAAUACUUUCAGUGAUUGGCAUUUGGCUUCUCAAAUGCCUCGAUUGCACACCGUUAAAUGAGAAGAUGCCCAUCUAGUCAGGGUUGGUGGCGUCAAUUUGUUAGCGUGUCCCACAAUCAUAAAAGCGAGGAAGCUGUUGUAAGCUUGCUGACAAAUGCCACGCAACAGUCUUCAAUCCUGGAUGCCCUAAUUCCAUCAGUGGAUUUGACAGUGAAAGAUGUUGACGAGAGUGAAAAAAGUGUAAACAAAAUGCACUGUUUUUCUUACAAUAUGUCUAAAUUUUUCAUUUGUUUCUGUUGAUUAUAAUAGUUGCAAUUCUAACAUAAGAAGCCCGGCACGGUGACAAAUGCUAUAAAUUUAGAUCGAUGUUGUUCCUAAUGGAGCGUCACGAUCAAUAACGAUCAUGACACAUGAUAUGUCGGUGUUGUCUA